RNAcentral lists this long non-coding RNA (620 nucleotides) under Rattus norvegicus (Norway rat). Its description in RNAcentral is "long non-coding RNA NONRATT016321". The record is from RNAcentral. Lineage: Eukaryota; Metazoa; Chordata; Mammalia; Rodentia; Muridae.
CAGCCUUGGGUUCCAUUGUCAGCAGUAUACCAACAGUGUGGUGAUUACAGACAUGUAUGUCUGUAAGUCCAGCAUUCAGGGAGGGAGGCAAGAAGGUCAGACAUUAAAGGUCAAUUUCAGGGCAAACUAAGCUAUGUGCGACCCAGCCACAAUUAGUUAGUUAAUUAGUUUAUUGCUUCUAUUACUGCUUUACUGAUGUUUCUAGUUUCAAACAUCAGUGUAGUUUCCUCUUUCAGUUAAAAAUUCAUUUGAAGUGCUUGCUUUCUUAGUAAUGGACUUUUCACUGGCACUGAAAUUAGAGUUCUCAAUAAAAGGAGAAUUGUGCCUGGCUGCCCGACCUCUAGUCACUUAAUCUGGGACAAGCCUUCUGAAGAGCCAGCAUCAGCAGCAUCAGCUCUGCCAUGGGUGACAGUACAUGUGCACACAGGUUACACAGCAGGGAAUUACAGUUAUUUCUGUGAGUGGGUGUUAGAUGUCCUGGAACAAGAGACUCUGGAUGUGCUGACAGGAAGAAUACUCAUGGGCCUGCAUCACUGUCGCCUUAGAAACAACACACUGUAUGUAAUAAAUGUCUGCCACCAGGAAACAUUAUAUAUCAUGAGCACAAAAAAAAAAAAAAA